Molecule: long non-coding RNA, 977 nt
Organism: Cyprinus carpio (common carp)
Lineage: Eukaryota; Metazoa; Chordata; Actinopteri; Cypriniformes; Cyprinidae
Source: Ensembl
AUCUCUAUCAACAUAAUCACACACGAUAUUGUAGUAACAAUAUAUAGUAAUUUUUAUUUGCUGGAAAAUGACAAUCAGUCAAAUUUGUGUUUUUAGCACACCUGACACAUCCCUAAACCGGAAAUUUAAAGCAGAACGUGCACCACUUGCAGGUUAUUGUAGCAUAUGUAAGAUCACUGCCAUAUGCAUCAUUUAUUUUUGCACUGUUAAUCAAUUUUACAUUUUCACUUCAAUGUAAGGAAGAUACUGUACUACAGAUAUUUAAAUCUUUUUUUUGUAUCUACUCCACUUUUUCACUGCCUGACCAUCAUCUUAAUGUUUAUGCAGUUCAAUGUUUUUAUUAUUUUUUAUAUCUAAAGCACCUUGUUCAAUAAGUAUUUAGAUGUUCCUCAUAUCUGUCAGGGUCUAAGCAUGAUCUGUUUCUGUUUUUCUGAUGAAGGAAACUUGUGUUGGGGAGGAUUCAGUGUCUGUUGAGGCCCAUGUGAAUGUGCUACAAAGUGAGUAUCAGAAACACCUCCAGACACCUGGACUGUCAAAGAGCACACGGCAGGAACAUUCUCCUGGAGACGCUGAGAAAGCACGGAAGGAAUGUCUGUGGAGGAUGUACUCAAACACACUCAUACUUAAGGACACCUGCUGGAGUAUGAUUGACUGGAAGUCUGUCAGUCCAGGUGUGAGGAAGACACACAGAGUGAGUUUGAGCUCAGCAGGUGUGAUGGCUGUGGAUGCAUCUACAGAAACACCACUGGAUACUGUAGCCAUGGAAAGAAGGGGGUCUUCACAGCUUUCUAUUCAGACAAAGAGUUUGCUGGAUUCUGUUCUAUGGACUGCUACUACAGAAUGAAUGAAUGAGUGGUUUAUCUAUCUAUCCAUCUAUCUAUCUGUCUAUCUAUCUAUAAUUUUUUUUUUUUACUUGAAUUGGCGACUGAAACUGAAAGCUAAAUAAAUGUUUUAGUGGAUAAAGCUGUGUCUGUUUG